This 7371-nucleotide long non-coding RNA is filed under the name Nicotiana benthamiana. Its description in RNAcentral is "long non-coding RNA (NBEN_LNC012809)". Lineage: Eukaryota; Viridiplantae; Streptophyta; Magnoliopsida; Solanales; Solanaceae. The record is from RNAcentral.
UAAAGAACACAUUAACGUACAAAUUAUAGAAUAAGCCACAAGACCAUUUUGUAAAUCAAUCAAUCAGCAACAUAGUUUGAGAAUAAAAACGCAAGAAGGAAGGAAGAGAGUUAGACCUCAAAUUAGCAAAUUGUCGCCUUUGAUAACUGGACAGAAAGCCGAAUGAAGUGUACUCUUAAACAAAUUUGAAAAUGAGCAAGGAACGGCUAUCGCACCCUCGAAACAAGAGCAGAACCAACAAAUCGCACAAUACCAGAGGACUCAAACUUAAACACGGUCUCUAAAUACUCAAUCAAACUCCAUGUUUCAAGUCAAAAUCCGAAAACCGUAAUGAAGAAAUAGAGAUAUCUUUUAUUUUGCUUUUUAUAUUUUUCUAUUUUGGAACUAAACUGAAGCACAAAAAAAAACGAUGGAGAAGCUGGAUGUUGGAAUGGAGUUGCAGAUUUUGUUGCUUCGUCGGAGAUGGACGACGUUUGGAGUGAAGUUCAGGUGGUCUGAUAGCUGGUCGACAAAAUAGCAGCUGGCGGCGGUUAUGGAUGGUCCAGCGGUGGCUGAUUUUGUGUCUUAGGGUUCAGGGAUGUUGUGAGGGAAGUGAGGCGCUGGUCGUUUGGUAUUGUCGGCGGUGAUUUGAUGACGUUGGUCGGAGAUGGUCGUUAGGAGAGGUGUUGGAGAGUGGUCGUUCAUGGUAGUAUGAAGAAGAAGAGAUGACGGGGAGCAGCCGCGGCUGGUUUCCACCGUGGAGGGUUGUUUAGCGGCGGCUUCUGGUGGUUAGGGUUUUGGUAUGGAAGAAAGAGAUGAAGUAGCUAGGGUUUUGCUUAUUUCCUGCAUUAUUUUUUUGGUGCUAGGGAUUAGGUCUUGUAUUGUAUAAUGUGAAGAAGAUGAAGUGUAGGGUUUUUCUUUGAAGAAGAAAGGGUAUGGGCCAAGUCUUGUAGGGCUUGAAAUUAGGCCUCUUGCAAGAAUAUAAUUGGGCUAAAAAAAUAAUUCUACAAAAUUAGGCUAAGAAAAGGUUAAAAAUUCAAUUCAAAUACCUAUAAAAUAUAAAAACUCUUAAUUGAUUUUGAUAAACUAUUAAUAUUAAAAAUAAAAGCUAAAAGUGAAAGUUGAAACUAUUUUUGAUAUUUUCAAGAAUUAUAUUAAAACCAAAAAUAGGUUCAAACUAAUAUAUCCGCCUAAAAAUAUCUAACGUGAAUUAAGUAAAGAAAUAUGAAUCUAUUGUUUAAAUUUUCAAUUUUUGUUCUUAAAAUAAUAUAAAAGUUAAAAUUAGUUAAAAUAAAUAUAUUUAGCCUAAGUUAAAUAUUUUACGUUAAAAUGGAUGAAAUUUCGGAGAGGGUAAAAAAUCAUGUAUCUACAGCUGCCCCUCUUUGACUGUAAAUACGAAGUAUUUUCAGACAAAGAAAGACUAGAUAGGUUUUCUGACUCGACCCUUAUUUUAGGAGACCAGAACUAAGAUGAAGGAGAAUGUGACCGAGCCCUGGUAUCUGAGCUGCCUACAUAUCCUUGGUUAUAAAGGAAUCAGGCCACGUGUAGUUCAGAAGUAAAUGAGAUAUGGAGUGACAGAGGUGGAGAGCCGAUUGAGGUGCCAUCGAAGUUCCGAUCCGCGGUCCUGUUAUUACAGCAAAAUCAAAAAAGAAAAAUACUAACUAAGCCUGUCAACUAUGAGUUACGAAAUUCCUAUCUAUAAGUCUUCUGAAGCAUGAUCUUGAAUCUUGAAUAGUUCUUCAUGCAGACUUCAGAUAUGAGCCUUGACGCUCACUAGCUGCAGGUGCUAGUUCAGUCUCCUUCAGCUUUUUGGAUCAGAACCGGACACGCCAUGCUUGUGAAUUUAGUCAUUUCUCGAUCAAUCCACCUCUUUUCUUGGCUUCUGCAAUUUGGAUUCAUUUUUUUCUUCUUUUUCAGCUACUUCUAACUUGAAUUGAAUUCUAAAAUAACUUCCCUUGUUCUCCAAGUGGGUGCUUGCUACUGAUUUGAAACUUGACAUGACUCUGAAAUGUCUUUCCUCAUUUUCCAGGCGGGCGCCUGCAAUCAAAACAACAAAACAAACAAAAUUUUCUGCCCCAGUUUGCUAGGAAGAUUUGUAAGAGAAAUAGUAAACCACUUAUGCUAUUGAUGCAAUGAUGAGAGUAAGCUAAAGACUCGACUAGGAUGUGUGUCUCCUCUGAGUAAAACCAAGAAAUUUUGACUAGCAAGUGCAUCUGCUAAGAAUAGAAAUCUCUUGUGAGUAAAACCCAAAAAUUUUGACUAGCAAGUGCGCCUGCUAAGAAUAGAAGCUGAAUUACCCAAACUAGGAAGUGUGUCUCCUAGGGAUGUAACUUGAAUGAACCAAAACUAGGAAGUGCGUCUCCAAGGGGUAAAACUUGAAUAACUCAAACUAGGAAGUGCGUCUCCUAGGAAUGAACUUACAUGACCCGAACUAGGAAGUNNNNNNNNNNNNNNNNNNNNNNNNNNNNNNNNNNNNNNNNNNNNNNNNNNNNNNNNNNNNNNNGGGGUAAAACUUGAAUAACUCAAACUAGGAAGUGCGUCUCCUAGGGGGAAAACUUGAAUGAACCAAAACUAGGAAGUGUGUUUCCUAGAGAUGAACUUACAUGACCCGAACUAGGAAGUGCGUCUCCUAAGGGUGUAACUUGAAUGAACCUAAACGUGUGAAAUAAGUGAAUUUAUCCAGUUGAGGCAUUCUUGAUUGAUUGAGACAAAACGAUUCCCUCAAUACAGCUUAACUCCGUCAAGCCUGUACGCGAUGUGCAUCUCCUAGGAAUGAACUUACAUGACCCAAACAAGUAAGUGCGUCUCCAAAGGGUAAAAUUUUAAUUUAGGAAGUGCGUCUCCUAAAACGCAAUAUAUCCUACAAGACCAAAACUAGGAAGUGCGUCUCCUAGGAAUAAAACCUCAAUUUAGGAAGUGCAUCUCCUAAAACGAAAAUAUAACCUGACAGAGCCAUACUAAGAAGUGCGUCUCCUAGGGGUGAAAUUUCAAUAACUCAAAUUAGGAAGUGCAUCUCCUAGGAAUAAACUUAAAUGAACCAAAUAGGAAGUGCGUCUCCUAGUGGCAAAAUCUUAAUUUAGGAAGUGCUUCUCCUAAAACAAAUAUAACCUGAAGGACCCAGACUAGAAAGUGCGUCUCCUAGGGGGUAAAAUUUCAACGACUCAAACUAGGAAGUGCGUUUCCUAUGAAUAAACUUAAACGAACCAAACUAGGAAGUGCGUCUCCUAGUGGUAAAAUCUCAACGACUCAAACCAGGAAGUGUUUCUCCUAAAAAUGAAAAUAUAACCUGAAUGACCCAGACUAGGAAGUGUGUCUCCUAGGGGUGAAACUUCAAUGACUAAAACUAGGAAGUGCGUCUCCUAGAAAUGAAUUUGAAUAACCAAAGCUAGGAUGUGCGUCUCCUAAUAAGUAUAAUCUAAAAGCCCCUACUAGGAAGUGCCUCUCCUAACGGUAUAACUUCGUUGACUCCAACUAGGAUGUGCGUCUCCUAAGGAUGAAUUUGAUUAACUAACAUUAGGAAGUGCGUCUCCUAAAAAUAAAAAUAUAGCUUGAAAUAACCAGCCUAGAAAGUGCAUCUCCUAGGAGUAAAAUCUCAAUUUAGGAAGUGCGUCUCCUAAAACAAAAUAUAACUUGAAAUGCCCAGGCUAGGAAGUGUGUCUCCUAGGGGUGAAACUUCAAUGACUCAAACUAGGAAGUGUGUCUCCUUAGAAUAAACUUAAAUGAACCAAAUAGGAAGUGCGUCUCCUAAUGGUAAAAUCUCAAUUUAGGAAGUGCGUCCCCUAAACAAAUAUAACCAGAAAGGCCCAAACUAGGAAGUACUUCUCCUAGGGGUGAUGUGUGAUAUUCUUAAUAGCCUUCGUACAAGAGGAAUUGGGACAUUACACCUGGAAAAUACAAGCUUUGUUAUAAACAUAGCCUUCAUCAUUGUUUCAGACAAAGAAAACUUGUGAGUUUAAAACACGGUGGUUAGUUUGUGGCCUUGACCUUGAAGGCGGUUGCUUCUGCACUUGCUGAGGUAACUUUUAUUUCAACUUGGACGACCUUGAAUGUUGUCGACUACCCACUUUCUUUCAAACCUUAUCACAAGAAAACACCUCCGAUCCAUUCAAUCCCAAUAUCUUUUACCUGUUGCAUUAAGCUUAUGAAUUGACAUUUACUGAAUCUUGCAUUUCACAUGAAUCCCAAAGCAUUUUAAUUGCUAUCAACUUGGUGUGCAUAUUGUUCUUUCCUGACUUAUGCCGCUUUGAUGUGCUUGUCAGACUCGGCUUUGUUCAAUUGGAAAGCUGGUGGUAAAUUUUGAAGUUAUUUCUCACUUGUUUCGAUAAAACAGACUCAAAAGGGAUUCAAACAAGACAAGCGGAACAAAAUAAGGGGAAAAUGAGAAAAGAUGGUAUCAAACAAGCAAAAAUUAUUACCUAGGAAAAAGAACAAAGAAGUAACUAAGCUGUUUGAAGGCCAUCUCCACUGACCCAUGACAUGCAUUUUGGAUUAGACGACCUGAUCUCUCAAGCAAGUCUAAUAUUUAACUCUUGUUGUACCUCUUCGCUGUGAAACUGGGCUUCAGCGCUUCAAUUUUCCCAUCUGAUCCACAAUUCUCAAUCGACUUGUAGUGCCAUGAAGGGCGUUUACCAUCAAGCCUCUCUCAUUUUGUUCUUAUCUCAACUCACCAUCGCGUUACGAUGCCUAGAGGGUUUUCACCGAUAAGACUCUCUCAUUUUAUCAUUUUCUCUCUUUGCAAUGAGAAUAAGGUAUUACCCAUGAUGUAGAAAGAUCAUACUUUUACCACACACUUGAUUUAGCAUCCUCAAAGAUUGGUCAGAAGGUCUUUCUUUGGACCAUAGUGUAGGAUUUUGGACAGGGUUGGAAAGAAAGGGUGACAUAAAGGCUCAAAAUAAUUUAAGAUGAAAGGGUUCAAAAUAACAACUUUUGGAAUCAGGCCUUUCGGCAAAAUUAAAAAUUCUUCCCCAGUUUCUCGGAGUUUGGGGGGAUUAUUUUCUCUCUUUUUAUGGGGUUUCUAAGAAAAUCUGCCCCAGUAUUGAUUUUGGGGAAUUAUGAAAUAUUUUAUAUCGUGUGACCGAACCGUGAGGCUGCCUACGUAUCUUGUGGUGACAAGAAUCAGGUCGAACGUAGUUCAAACGGCAAAGUUGCUUGUUUUUUUUCUUUUCUAUCUUUUUGUUCUUUCUUUUUCUUCUUUUCUCUUUUCUUUUUUUCCUUUUUUCUUUUCUCCUUCUUUUUUUCCCUUUUUCUUCUUUUCUCUUUUCUUUUUUUCCUUUUUUCUUUUCUCCUUUUUUUUUCCCUUUUUCUUCUUUUUCUCUUUUUCCUUUUCUUUUCUUGUUCGUAAUUCCAUUUCUGAUUCCAAAAGAGGGGUAUGAAAUAAAAAAAAAUUAGGGCUCAAAAUGGGUAGCAAAGGAUAAAAGUGUUUGGGUAGCAAAAUAAAAUGCCUUUCGCCAUACCAAACUUAAAAGGUGACAAAAAUGGUGUUCAGAAGGAAAUAAACUCAAAGUCGCCACCUGACAUUGAAUUUCGGUGUGCCAGGCCACCGAUUCUUAAAAAAUAUUUUCCUUUUAAAAUACUUGGACUCAAAACUAAGUCCGCACCAGAGAUUCGGAUAAGGGGGUUCAUUUGACUCGGGGAGAAAGUGUUAGGCACUAGCCAUGUCCCCUGAAGGUCACCGUUGUGUACUCGAUCGAGCUGGCUUUUAAAAUAUUCAAAUUGAGGCAAAAACACGCAAAAAGAGACUAAACAAUCGAAGAGGCUCGAGGUCGUCCCCACCUAAUAAAGGAAAAACAAAAGAAAAAAUAAAGUACUAUUCUAUGCUUCCUCAAGUUACUUCGUCUUUGGCCUUCAUUUACAUUCACUUCGAGGCAUACCCCGGAUAAUUAUAUAUACAAACUUUACGGGGUAUUUCCCGGACAAAUUUAACUACGGAAACGACCUCUCCCAUAAAAUUGACAAAAAUCCUAAAGUUUGCCUACCCAGGUGUGGUUGGCAUAAACAUGCCAUUAGCGAACCCAAGUAAAUCAAGAUAAAACAAUAAGAUUAUUGCCCGAACCCCAUAGUUCAUCUCAAGCCCAACUCCGAUUAUCAACAUCAUCCCUUAUAGCACACACACUAGUGAAUUUAACCCAAUCACUCAAACUUAUGGAAUACAAUAAAGCUACAAAAGUAGCAGAAAUACUAUUAAGCCCAAACCUCUUUCUUGUUUCCAAAUAUGGUCCAUUUUAAUUCAAUUUUUAUAACUAAACCCCAACAACUAUAAAUUAAAUUAACUCUUAUUGCCCGAACCUCUUUCUUGUUUCCAAAUAUUGUCCAUUUUAAUUCAAUUUUUAUUACUAAACCCCAACAACUAUAAAUAAAAUUAACUCUUAUAUUCUUAGCUAAAGAAGUAAUGAUUCAAAGUAUGAUAUCAAUUCUGUUAAGAACACAUUAACGUACAAAUUAUAGUAUAAGCCAUAAUACCAUUUUGUAAAUCAAUCAAUCAGCAACACAGUUUGAGAAUAAAAAUGCAAGAAGGAAGGAAGAGAGUUAGACCUCAAAUUAGCAAAUUGUCGCCUUUGAUAAUUGGACCGAAAGCCGAACGACGUGUACGCUUAAACAAAUUUGAAAAUGAGUAAGGAACGGCUAUCGCACCCUCGAAACAAGAGCAGAACCAAUAAAUCGCACAACACCGGAGGACUCAAACUUAAACACGGCCACUAAAUACUCAAUCGAACUCCAUGUCUCAAGUCAAAAUCCGAAAACCGAAAUGAAGAAAUAGAGAUAUCUUCUUUUUUUUUGCUUUUUAUAUUGUUCUGUUUUGGAACUAAACUGAAACACAAAAAAAACAAUGGAGAAGCUGGAUGUUGGAAUGGAGUUGCAGCUGUUGUUGUUUCAUCGGAGAUGGACGACGUUUGGAGUGAAGUUCAGGUGGUCUGAUAGCUGGUCGAUGAAAUAGCAGCUGGCGGAGUUAUGGAUGGUCUUGCGGUGGCUGCUUUUGUGUCUUAGGGUUCAGGGAUGUUGUGAGGAAAGUAAGGCGCUGGUCGUUUGGUAUUGUUGGCGGCGAUUUGAUGAUGUUGGUCGGAGAUGGUCUUUUGGAGAGGUGUUGGAGAGAGGUCGUUUAUGGUGGUAUGAAGAAGAAAAAGAAGAAGAAGAGAUGAGAGGGAGCAGCGUCGGCUGGUUUCCGCCGUGAAGGGCUAUUUCGUGGCGGCUUCUGGUGUUAGGGUUUUGGUACUGAAGAAAGAGAUGAAGUAGCUCGCGUUUCGCUUAUUUCCUCCAUUGUUGUUUUGGUGUUAGGGUUUAGGUCUUGUAUUGUGUAAUGUGAAGAAGAUGAAGUGUAGGGUUUUUCUUUGAAGAAGAAUGGGUAUGGGCCAAGUCUUGUAGGGCUUGAAAUUGGGCCUCUUGCAAGAAUAUAAU